GACGAACGCUGGCGGCGUGCUUAACACAUGCAAGUCGAACGAUGAAGGAGAGCUUGCUCUCCGGAUUAGUGGCGAACGGGUGAGUAACACGUGACUAACCUGCCCCUUUCUCUGGGAUAACGCUCCGAAAGGCACGCUAAUACCGGAUACGAACUCUGAACACAUGUUCGGAGUUGGAAAGUUUAUCGGAAAGGGAUGGAGUCGCGGCCUAUCAGCUUGUUGGUGAGGUAACGGCUCACCAAGGCGACGACGGGUAGCCGGCCUGAGAGGGCGACCGGCCACACUGGGACUGAGACACGGCCCAGACUCCUACGGGAGGCAGCAGUGGGGAAUAUUGCACAAUGGGCGAAAGCCUGAUGCAGCGACGCCGCGUGAGGGAUGAAGGUCUUCGGAUUGUAAACCUCUUUCAGUAGGGACGAAGCGAAAGUGACGGUACCUAAAGAAGAAGCACCGGCUAACUACGUGCCAGCCGCCGCCGUAA
This 481-nucleotide ribosomal RNA is filed under the name uncultured bacterium. RNAcentral's name for it is "partial 16S ribosomal RNA". It matches the Rfam family "Bacterial small subunit ribosomal RNA", at positions 28 to 523 of the family's 1533-position model. The record is from RNAcentral.